Molecule: ribosomal RNA, 232 nt
Filed under: Bacillus safensis
Lineage: Bacteria; Bacillati; Bacillota; Bacilli; Caryophanales; Bacillaceae
Description: partial 16S ribosomal RNA
Rfam family: Bacterial small subunit ribosomal RNA
Source: RNAcentral
CAUCGCAUCUAUAAUGCAGUCGAGCGAACAGAAGGGAGCUUGCUCCCGGAUGUUAGCGGCGGACGGGUGAGUAACACGUGGGUAACCUGCCUGUAAGACUGGGAUAACUCCGGGAAACCGGAGCUAAUACCGGAUAGUUCCUUGAACCGCAUGGUUCAAGGAUGAAAGACGGUUUCGGCUGUCCCUUACAGAUGGACCCGCGGCGCAUUAGCUAGUUGGUGGGGUAAGGGCG